GGACAAAAAGAAGGGAGCAGUUCAGCUACUUGAAGAAACCAAAUGGUAUGUUGAGGCAAAUUAAAACCAGAGAGUCAGUUGGAGAAGCCCGAAGAGUAACCCAGGUGUCAAAAUACAGACACGUCAGGAGAAAACAAUGCCAGCCUCCUGCCAGGGAUCUAUCUUAACAAAGCAUCCAAUUAUCUUUUGGCUGCAAGACUACGUUCUGAUUCCCUAUACUUCAAACUUGGUUUCUUCUUCACCCUGGAUACUUGCAGAGCCGGGCACCACUCAUGUGAUAAUGCCAGGCUGGAUUCUCUAGAAGCAGAUGCUGGGAGGCUAUUUGGGGUACAAGGUGUUCGUUAGGAAUCAACAGCUGUGUUGGGAAGGAGAGGACACAGGAUCGCACAAAGGAAGACAUCAACAGUGCUGUAGAGAGCUCUCCAGAGGGUAGCAUUUGUCAGAGUGUUCUCCAUUGGGCUGAAACACCUGGGCAUUCAUGUUCUUCUCACUCAAUCACCAG
Pan troglodytes (chimpanzee) is the source of this 502-nucleotide long non-coding RNA. RefSeq lists it as uncharacterized. The transcript has 3 exons. The record is from RefSeq and is a predicted model, not a curated record. Lineage: Eukaryota; Metazoa; Chordata; Mammalia; Primates; Hominidae.